UACGGAGGGUGCAAGCGUUGUCCGGAUUUAUUGGGUUUAAAGGGUGCGUAGGCGGGUCUUUAAGUCAGUGGUGAAAGCCGACAGCUCAACUGUCGAAAUGCCAUUGAUACUGGGGAUCUUGAGUACAGUAGAGGUAGGCGGAAUUAAUGGUGUAGCGGUGAAAUGCAUAGAUACCAUUAAGAACACCGAUUGCGAAGGCAGCUUACUAUAGUGUAACUGACGCUGAGGCACGAAAGUGUGGGGAUCAAACAGG
Molecule: ribosomal RNA, 253 nt
Filed under: uncultured bacterium
Lineage: Bacteria
Description: partial 16S ribosomal RNA
Rfam family: Bacterial small subunit ribosomal RNA
Source: RNAcentral